Molecule: ribosomal RNA, 255 nt
Filed under: uncultured prokaryote
Description: partial 16S ribosomal RNA
Rfam family: Bacterial small subunit ribosomal RNA
Source: RNAcentral
ACGUAGGGACCAAGCGUUGUUCGGAUUUACUGGGCGUAAAGGGCGCGUAGGCGGCCAGCACAAGUCAGUUGUGAAAUCUCCGGGCUUAACUCGGAAAGGUCAACUGAUACUGUGCGGCUAGAGUGCAGAAGGGGCAACUGGAAUUCUUGGUGUAGCGGUGAAAUGCGUAGAUAUCAAGAGGAACACCUGAGGUGAAGACGGGUUGCUGGGCUGACACUGACGCUGAGUGCGCGAGAGCUAGGGUAGCAAACGGGA